CAGCCGCCACGGUAAAACGUAGGGUGCGAGCGUUAAUCGGAAUUACUGGGCGUAAAGCGCACGUAGGCAGCUAUUCAAGUCAGGGGUGAAAGCCCGGGGCUCAACCCCGGAACUGCCUUUGAAACUAGAUAGCUUGAAUCUUGGAGAGGCGAGUGGAAUUCCGAGUGUAGAGGUGAAAUUCGUAGAUAUUCGGAAGAACACCAGUGGCGAAGGCGACUCGCUGGACAAGUAUUGACGCUGAGGUGCGAAAGCGUGGGGAGCAAACAGGAUUAGAGACCCCCGUAGUCCCUGUCUCUUAUAC
Molecule: ribosomal RNA, 301 nt
Filed under: uncultured bacterium
Lineage: Bacteria
Description: partial 16S ribosomal RNA
Rfam family: Bacterial small subunit ribosomal RNA
Source: RNAcentral